RNAcentral lists this long non-coding RNA (651 nucleotides) under Heterocephalus glaber (naked mole-rat). RNAcentral describes it as "lncRNA (ENSHGLG00000048715.1)". The record is from RNAcentral. Lineage: Eukaryota; Metazoa; Chordata; Mammalia; Rodentia; Bathyergidae.
GUCUUGUUCCCAGGGAGUUGGGCUCCUUCCUUCUCCAGACUUUUGUAAACAUGGGCAGUGGUACAUUUAGUACAAGAGCAGCACCUUCUCUCUAGAUCAGGGGAGAAAACAAUCUCCACUCUCUUAUUGGUCCCUCUCCAGGUCCUCGCUGCUCAGCUGCACAGAGUUGAAGCCCCAGGUGGACAUGUGGCCUCCCAGCGGUGGCUUCCUGAACAGCACAUACAGGGACCUGCUCCUCCCAGAUGACCCUUCCCCAGGACCCCAUCCUGUCCUCCACCUGCCCAGGAACGGACAGGGAAAUCAGAUGUGAGAGACUAGAAGUAACAGAUAAAGUCCAUCACGCAUCAAAUAUCUGCAGAAACUACUGUAGGUUGACAAGAUCAAGACAAAACAGAUCGAAUUCCCAGGGUGUGUUUCAGCUGUUGGGAAGCAACAUGGAGGGUCAGAUGAUCAUGAAGGCAGGAGCUGUGUUUUAUUUUCCAUGAAUUCUCUGUGCCGCCCAGUCAAUGUUUGCUGCAUUAAAUCCAGGCACACUUGGUAUAGAAAAUGCAACCUUGUGCCUAUGUUAGUUCUCAUAUUGAAUAUGUCUGGGCCUCUGCCAAUCUUUUCUGUUCUUUGCACUUCACAAAUUGGUGACAGGGCAGCAGAUAC